This 468-nucleotide ribosomal RNA is filed under the name uncultured bacterium. RNAcentral describes it as "partial 16S ribosomal RNA". It matches the Rfam family "Bacterial small subunit ribosomal RNA", at positions 28 to 507 of the family's 1533-position model. The record is from RNAcentral.
GACGAACGCUGGCGGCGUGCUUAACACAUGCAAGUCGAACGGAAAGGCCCUGCUUUUGUGGGGUGCUCGAGUGGCGAACGGGUGAGUAACACGUGAGUAACCUGCCCUUGACUUUGGGAUAACUUCAGGAAACUGGGGCUAAUACCGGAUAGGAGCUCCUGCUGCAUGGUGGGGGUUGGAAAGUUUCGGCGGUUGGGGAUGGACUCGCGGCUUAUCAGCUUGUUGGUGGGGUAGUGGCUUACCAAGGCUUUGACGGGUAGCCGGCCUGAGAGGGUGACCGGCCACAUUUUGACUGAGAUACGGCCCAGACUCCUACGGGAGGGAGCAGUGGGGAAAAUAGCGCAAUGUGCGGAAGCCUGAUGCAGCAACGCCGCGUGCGGGAUGACGGCCCUCGGGUGUUAAACCGCGUUCGCCUGUGACGAGGCGUGAGUGACAGGAAUGGGUAUAGAGGCACCGGCGAACUACGUG